AGAGUUUGAUCAUGGCUCAGGACGAACGCUGGCGGCGUGCCUAACACAUGCAAGUCGAGCGAGGGACUUCGGUCCCUAGCGGCGGACGGGUGAGUAACACGUGGGUAACCUGCCUCAUAGUGGGGGAUAGCCUUCCGAAAGGAAGAUUAAUACCGCAUAUACUCUCGGUAUCGCAUGAUACUUAGAGGAAAGGAGCAAUCCGCUAUGAGAUGGACCCGCGGCGCAUUGGCUAGUUGGUGAGGUAACGGCUCACCAAGGCCACGAUGCGUAGCCGACCUGAGAGGGUGAUCGGCCACAUUGGAACUGAGACACGGUCCAGACUCCUACGGGAGGCAGCAGUGGGGAAUAUUGCACAAUGGGCGAAAGCCUGAUGCAGCAACGCCGCGUGAGUGAUGAGGGCCUUCGGGUUGUAAAGCUCUGUCUUUUGGGACGAUAAUGACGGUACCAAAGGAGGAAGCCACGGCUAACUACGUGCCAGCAGCCGCGGUAAUACGUAGGUGGCAAGCGUUGUCCGGAUUUACUGGGCGUAAAGGAUGCGUAGGUGGAUAUUUAAGUGGGAUGUGAAAUACCCGGGCUCAACUUGGGUGCUGCAUUCCAAACUGGAUAUCUAGAGUGCAGGAGAGGUAAGUGGAAUUCCUAGUGUAGCGGUGAAAUGCGUAGAGAUUAGGAAGAACACCAGUGGCGAAGGCGACUUACUGGACUGUAACUGACACUGAGGCAUGAAAGCGUGGGGAGCAAACAGGAUUAGAUACCCUGGUAGUCCACGCCGUAAACGAUGGGUACUAGGUGUAGGAGGGUCCAACCUUCUGUGCCGCCGUUAACACAAUAAGUACCCCGCCUGGGAAGUACGGUCGCAAGAUUAAA
This 864-nucleotide ribosomal RNA is filed under the name uncultured bacterium. Its description in RNAcentral is "bacterial SSU rRNA". It matches the Rfam family "Bacterial small subunit ribosomal RNA", at positions 8 to 898 of the family's 1533-position model. The record is from RNAcentral.